This 492-nucleotide ribosomal RNA is filed under the name Triops cancriformis. Its description in RNAcentral is "partial 16S ribosomal RNA". It matches the Rfam family "Bacterial large subunit ribosomal RNA", at positions 1841 to 2592 of the family's 2925-position model. The record is from RNAcentral. Lineage: Eukaryota; Metazoa; Arthropoda; Branchiopoda; Notostraca; Triopsidae.
AUUAAUUUGAGGUAUAGCCUGCUCUAUGAAUUUAUUUAAAUGGCCGCGGUAUUCUGACCGUGCGAAGGUAGCAUAAUCAUUAGUCUUUUAAUUGAAGGCUGGUAUGAAUGGCUGGACGAGAAAAUUUCUGUCUCUGUUAUAAAUUUUGAAUUUGAUUUUUAAGUGAAAAAGCUUAAAUAUUUUUGGGGGACGAUAAGACCCUAUGGAUCUUUAUAAUGAUGAUUAAUAAAAAGUUUAGAAGUUACAGCUUUUUACUCUAAGUUAUUGGGUUGGGGCGACUGGAAGAAAAAAAUAUCUCUUCUUAAAAAUAAAUAUUAUUUAUAGAAUUAAAAAUGACCCUAAAUUUUGGUUUAGCAGAUCAAGUUACCCUAGGGAUAACAGCGUAAUCUUUUUGGAGAGUUCAUAUCGAUGAAAAGGUUUGCGACCUCGAUGUUGGAUUAAGAGAUCCUUGCGGCGCAGCAGUUGCGGAGGAAAGUCUGUUCGACUUUUAAA